UACGGGGGGUGCAAGCGUUGUUCGGAAUUACUGGGCGUAAAGGGCUCGUAGGUGGCCAACUAAGUCAGACGUGAAAUCCCUCGGCUUAACCGGGGAACUGCGUCUGAUACUGGUUGGCUUGAAUCCGGGAGAGGGAUGUGGAAUUCCAGGUGUAGCGGUGAAAUGCGUAGAUAUCUGGAGGAACACCGGUGGCGAAGGCGGCAUCCUGGACCGGUAUUGACGCUGAGGAGCGAAAGCCAGGGGAGCAAACGGG
Molecule: ribosomal RNA, 253 nt
Filed under: uncultured bacterium
Lineage: Bacteria
Description: partial 16S ribosomal RNA
Rfam family: Bacterial small subunit ribosomal RNA
Source: RNAcentral